RNAcentral lists this ribosomal RNA (1411 nucleotides) under Cupriavidus sp. UYMM14A. Its description in RNAcentral is "bacterial SSU rRNA". It matches the Rfam family "Bacterial small subunit ribosomal RNA". Lineage: Bacteria; Pseudomonadati; Pseudomonadota; Betaproteobacteria; Burkholderiales; Burkholderiaceae. The record is from RNAcentral.
CCUUAAAUGCAAGUCGAACGGCAGCACGGGGGCAACCCUGGUGGCGAGUGGCGAACGGGUGAGUAAUACAUCGGAACGUGCCCUGUCGUGGGGGAUAACUAGUCGAAAGAUUAGCUAAUACCGCAUACGACCUCGAGGGUGAAAGCGGGGGACCGGUAAAGGCCCUCCGCGCGACAAGGAGCGGCCGAUGUCUGAUUUAUCUUAGUUGGUGGGGUAAAAGCCUACCCAAGGGGCACGAUCAGUAGCUGGUCUGAGAGGACGAUCAGCCACUCUGGGACUGACACACGGCCCCAGACUCCUACGGGAGGCAGCAGUGGGGAAUUUUGGACAAUGGGGGCAACCCUGAUCCAGCAAUGCCGCGUGUGUGAAGAAGGCCUUCGGGUUGUAAAGCACUUUUGUCCGGAAAGAAAUGGCUCUGGUUAAUACCUGGGGUCGAUGACGGUACCGGAAGAAUAAGCACCGGCUAACUACGUGCCAGCAGCCGCGGUAAUACGUAGGGUGCGAGCGUUAAUCGGAAUUACUGGGCGUAAAGCGUGCGCAGGCGGUUUUGUAAGACAGGCGUGAAAUCCCCGAGCUCAACUUGGGAAUGGCGCUUGUGACUGCAAGGCUAGAGUAUGUCAGAGGGGGGUAGAAUUCCACGUGUAGCAGUGAAAUGCGUAGAGAUGUGGAGGAAUACCGAUGGCGAAGGCAGCCCCCUGGGACGUCACUGACGCUCAUGCACGAAAGCGUGGGGAGCAAACAGGAUUAGAUACCCUGGUAGUCCACGCCCUAAACGAUGUCAACUAGUUGUUGGGGAUUCAUUUCUUCAGUAACGUAGCUAACGCGUGAAGUUGACCGCCUGGGGAGUACGGUCGCAAGAUUAAAACUCAAAGGAAUUGACGGGGACCCGCACAAGCGGUGGAUGAUGUGGAUUAAUUCGAUGCAACGCGAAAAACCUUACCUACCCUUGACAUGCCACUAACGAAGCAGAGAUGCAUUAGGUGCCCGAAAGGGAAAGUGGACACAGGUGCUGCAUGGCUGUCGUCAGCUCGUGUCGUGAGAUGUUGGGUUAAGUCCCGCAACGAGCGCAACCCUUGUCUCUAGUUGCUACGAAAGGGCACUCUAGAGAGACUGCCGGUGACAAACCGGAGGAAGGUGGGGAUGACGUCAAGUCCUCAUGGCCCUUAUGGGUAGGGCUUCACACGUCAUACAAUGGUGCGUACACCCGGUUGCCAACCCGCGAGGGGGAGCUAAUCCCAGAAAACGCAUCGUAGUCCGGAUCGCAGUCUGCAACUCGACUGCGUGAAGCUGGAAUCGCUAGUAAUCGCGGAUCAGCAUGCCGCGGUGAAUAAGUUCCCGGGUCUUAUACACACCGCCCGUCACACCAUGGGAGUGGGUUUUGCCAGAAGUAGUUAGCCUAACCGCAACCAUG